This 359-nucleotide RNase P RNA is filed under the name Gammaproteobacteria bacterium. Its description in RNAcentral is "RNase P RNA component class A". It matches the Rfam family "Bacterial RNase P class A". From Rfam's summary of the family: Ribonuclease P (RNase P) is a ubiquitous endoribonuclease, found in archaea, bacteria and eukarya as well as chloroplasts and mitochondria. Its best characterised activity is the generation of mature 5'-ends of tRNAs by cleaving the 5'-leader elements of precursor-tRNAs. Lineage: Bacteria; Pseudomonadati; Pseudomonadota; Gammaproteobacteria. The record is from RNAcentral.
GGAGUCGGCCGGACAGUCGCGCCGCGGCCUGGCCGCGGGGAGGAAAGUCCGGGCUCCUGGGGCAGGGUGCCAGGUAACGCCUGGGGGGCGCGAGCCCACGGAAAGUGCCACAGAAAAUAUACCGCCGUCGUUCGCGACGGUAAGGGUGAAAUGGUGCGGUAAGAGCGCACCGCGCGGCUGGUAACAGCCGUGGCAGGGCAAACCCCACCCGGAGCAAGACCAAAUAGGGGAGCCGCGGCGUUCGCGCCGCAACGCCGGCCCUGCGUGCUCCCGGGUAGGUCGCUCGAGGCCCGUGGUGACACGGGUCCCAGAUGAAUGACUGUCCACGACAGAACCCGGCUUACAGGCCGGCUCCCCAC